UACGGAGGAUGCAAGCGUUAUCCGGAUUCAUUGGGUUUAAAGGGUGCGUAGGCGGAACGAUAAGUCAGUGGUGAAAUAUUGCAGCUUAACUGUAAAAAUGCCGUUGAUACUGUUGUUCUUGAGUACAGUUGAGGUGGGCGGAAUGUGUAAUGUAGCGGUGAAAUGCUUAGAUAUUACACAGAACACCGAUUGCGUAGGCAGCUCGCUAAACUGUUACUGACGCUGAGGCACGAAAGCGUGGGGAGCAAACAGG
This 253-nucleotide ribosomal RNA is filed under the name uncultured bacterium. RNAcentral's name for it is "partial 16S ribosomal RNA". It matches the Rfam family "Bacterial small subunit ribosomal RNA", at positions 524 to 776 of the family's 1533-position model. The record is from RNAcentral.